This 72-nucleotide transfer RNA is filed under the name Pangasianodon gigas (Mekong giant catfish). RNAcentral describes it as "tRNA-Glu". Lineage: Eukaryota; Metazoa; Chordata; Actinopteri; Siluriformes; Pangasiidae. The record is from RNAcentral.
CGCCUGGAGGACUAGUGGUUAGGCCUCGAUGCUCUCACCACUGCAGCCAGGGUUUGAUUCCCAGCCAGGGAA